AGACGGGUUCCCGAGCGGCCAAAGGGAGCAGACUGUAAAUCUGCCGUCAUCGACUUCGAAGGUUCGAAUCCUUCCCCCACCACCA
Molecule: transfer RNA, 85 nt
Filed under: Yersinia ruckeri
Lineage: Bacteria; Pseudomonadati; Pseudomonadota; Gammaproteobacteria; Enterobacterales; Yersiniaceae
Description: tRNA-Tyr
Rfam family: tRNA
About the family: Transfer RNA (tRNA) molecules are approximately 80 nucleotides in length.
Source: RNAcentral